Molecule: ribosomal RNA, 800 nt
Filed under: uncultured Planctomycetota bacterium
Lineage: Bacteria; Pseudomonadati; Planctomycetota
Description: bacterial SSU rRNA
Rfam family: Bacterial small subunit ribosomal RNA
Source: RNAcentral
ACUGGGCUUAAAGCGCAUGUAGGCGGCUUUGCAAGCGUCUUGUGAAAUCCCCCGGCUCAACCGGGGAACUGCUCGGCGAACUGCAAGGCUUGAGGCAGGCAAGGGUGCGUGGAACUCUUGGUGGAGCGGUGAAAUGCGUAGAUAUCAAGAGGAACGCCGGAGGCGAAAGCGGCGCACUGGGCCUGACCUGACGCUGAGAUGCGAAGGCUAGGGUAGCGAACGGGAUUAGAUACCCCGGUAGUCCUAGCAGUAAACGAUGCCUACUAGGUCGGAGGGCUUCUGACAGCCUUCCGGUCGGAACUAAAGCGUUAAGUAGGCCGCCUGGGGAGUACGGUCGCAAGGCUAAAACUCAAAGGAAUUGACGGGGGCUCACACAAGCGGUGGAGCAUGUUGCUUAAUUCGAUGCAACGCGAAGAACCUUAUCCUGGGUUUGACAUGCUUGGAUGCCCAUCUGGAAACAGAGUAGGCUGCCCUUCGGGGUGAAACUUGCACAGGUGCUGCAUGGCUGUCGUCAGCUCGUGUCGUGAGAUGUUGGGUUAAGUCCCGUAACGAGCGAAACCCUUAUCGCUAGUUGCCAGCGGUCCGGCCGGGGACUCUAGCGAGACUGCCGGUGUUAAACCGGAGGAAGGCGGGGAUGACGUCAAGUCCUCAUGGCCUUUAUGCCCAGGGCUGCAAACGUGCUACAAUGACGGGUACAGACCGACGCAAUACCGCGAGGUGGAGCAAAUCGGACAAAGCCCGCCCCAGUUCGGAUUGGAGUCUGCAACUCGACUCCAUGAAGUUGGAAUCGCUAGUAAUCG